RNAcentral lists this ribosomal RNA (597 nucleotides) under uncultured bacterium. RNAcentral's name for it is "bacterial SSU rRNA". It matches the Rfam family "Bacterial small subunit ribosomal RNA", at positions 63 to 672 of the family's 1533-position model. The record is from RNAcentral.
CGAGGGGCAGCAUAUGGAUAGCAAUAUCUAUGUGGCGACCGGCGCACGGGUGCGUAACGCGUAUGCACCUACCUUUAACAGGGGGAUAACACUGAGAAAUUGGUACUAAUACCCCAUAAUAAGGCAUCUUGAAAAUUCCGAUGGUUAGAGAUGGGCAUGCGUUGUAUUAGCUAGUUGGUGGGGUAACGGCUCACCAAGGCGACGAUACAUAGGGGGACUGAGAGGUUAACCCCCACACUGGUACUGAGACACGGACCAGACUCCUACGGGAGGCAGCAGUGAGGAAUAUUGGACAAUGGACCAGACGUUGACCCCGCCAUGCCGCGUGCAGGAUGACGGCUUAUGAGUUGUAAACUGCUUUUGUACGAGGGUAACGCAGAUACGUGUAUCUGUCUGAAAGUAUCGUACGAAUAAGGAUCGGCUAACUCCGUGCCAGCAGCCGCGGUAAUACGGAGGAUUCAAGCGUUAUCCGGAUUUAUUGGGUUUAAAGGGUGCGUAGGCGGUUUGAUAAGUUAGAGGUGAAAUUUCGGGGCUCAACCCUGAACGUGCCUCUAAUACUGUUGAGCUAGAAAGUAAUUGCGGAAGGCGGAAUGUAUG